GAUGAACGCUGGCGGCGUGCCUAAUACAUGCAAGUCGAGCGAACAGACGAGGAGCUUGCUCCUCUGACGUUAGCGGCGGACGGGUGAGUAACACGUGGAUAACCUACCUAUAAGACUGGGAUAACUUCGGGAAACCGGAGCUAAUACCGGAUAACAUGUUGAACCGCAUGGUUCAACAGUGAAAGACGGUUUUGCUGUCACUUAUAGAUGGAUCCGCGUCGCAUUAGCUAGUUGGUAAGGUAACGGCUUACCAAGGCAACGAUGCGUAGCCGACCUGAGAGGGUGAUCGGCCACACUGGAACUGAGACACGGUCCAGACUCCUACGGGAGGCAGCAGUAGGGAAUAUUCCGCAAUGGGCGAAAGCCUGACGGAGCAACGCCGCGUGAGUGAAGAAGGUCUUCGGAUCGUAAAACUCUGUUAUUAGGGAAGAACAAAUGUGUAAGUAACUAUGCACGUCUUGACGGUACCUAAUCAGAAAGCCACGGCUAACUACGUG
Molecule: ribosomal RNA, 497 nt
Filed under: uncultured bacterium
Lineage: Bacteria
Description: partial 16S ribosomal RNA
Rfam family: Bacterial small subunit ribosomal RNA
Source: RNAcentral